GGGUUGUGAGGUUAAGCGACUAAGCGUACACGGUGGAUGCCCUGGCAGUCAGAGGCGAUGAAGGGCGUGCUAAUCUGCGAUAAGCGCCGGUAAGGUGAUAUGAACCGUUAUAACCGGCGAUACCCGAAUGGGGAAACCCAGUGUGUUUCGACACACUAUCAUUAACUGAAUCCAUAGGUUAAUGAGGCGAACCGGGGGAACUGAAACAUCUAAGUACCCCGAGGAAAAGAAAUCAACCGAGAUUCCCCCAGUAGCGGCGAGCGAACGGGGAGGAGCCCAGAGCCUGAAUCAGCAUGUGUGUUAGUGGAAGCGUCUGGAAAGGCGCGCGAUACAGGGUGACAGCCCCGUACACAAAAGCGCAUGUGCUGUGAGCUCGAUGAGUAGGGCGGGACACGUGGUAUCCUGUCUGAAUAUGGGGGGACCAUCCUCCAAGGCUAAAUACUCCUGACUGACCGAUAGUGAACCAGUACCGUGAGGGAAAGGCGAAAAGAACCCCGGCGAGGGGAGUGAAAAAGAACCUGAAACCGUGUACGUACAAGCAGUGGGAGCCCCACCACUAAGCCAGUGGUGAACUCCACAUACGCAUCCUUUGCUGAGGAUACGGUUAACGGAGCGAAAGCGACGUUCAACCUCAAAAGAAGCAGAGGGGGCUUAGUGGUGGGGUGACUGCGUACCUUUUGUAUAAUGGGUCAGCGACUUAUAUUCUGUAGCAAGGUUAACCGAAUAGGGGAGCCGGAGGGAAACCGAGUCUUAACCGGGCGUUAAGUUGCAGGGUAUAGACCCGAAACCCGGUGAUCUAGCCAUGGGCAGGUUGAAGGUUGGGUAACACUAACUGGAGGACCGAACCGACUAAUGUUGAAAAAUUAGCGGAUGACCUGUGGCUGGGGGUGAAAGGCCAAUCAAACCGGGAGAUAGCUGGUUCUCCCCGAAAGCUAUUUAGGUAGCGCCUCGUGAAUUCAUCUCCGGGGGUAGAGCACUGUUUCGGCUAGGGGGCCAUCCCGGCUUACCAACCCGAUGCAAACUGCGAAUACCGGAGAAUGUUAUCACGGGAGACACACGGCGGGUGCUAACGUCCGUCGUGAAGAGGGAAACAACCCAGACCGCCAGCUAAGGUCCCAAAGUCAUGGUUAAGUGGGAAACGAUGUGGGAAGGCCCAGACAGCCAGGAUGUUGGCUUAGAAGCAGCCAUCAUUUAAAGAAAGCGUAAUAGCUCACUGGUCGAGUCGGCCUGCGCGGAAGAUGUAACGGGGCUAAACCAUGCACCGAAGCUGCGGCAGCGACGCUGAUGCGUUGUUGGGUAGGGGAGCGUUCUGUAAGCCUGCGAAGGUGGCCUGUGAGGGUUGCUGGAGGUAUCAGAAGUGCGAAUGCUGACAUAAGUAACGAUAAAGCGGGUGAAAAGCCCGCUCGCCGGAAGACCAAGGGUUCCUGUCCAACGUUAAUCGGGGCAGGGUGAGUCGACCCCUAAGGCGAGGCCGAAAGGCGUAGUCGAUGGGAAACGGGUUAAUAUUCCCGUACUUGGUGUUACUGCGAAGGGGGGACGGAGAAGGCUAUGUUGGCCGGGCGACGGUUGUCCCGGUUUAAGCGUGUAGGUGUGUGUUCCAGGUAAAUCCGGUUCACUUUAACACUGAGGCGUGAUGACGAGGCACUACGGUGCUGAAGCAACAAAUGCCCUGCUUCCAGGAAAAGCCUCUAAGCAUCAGGUAACAUCAAAUCGUACCCCAAACCGACACAGGUGGUCAGGUAGAGAAUACCAAGGCGCUUGAGAGAACUCGGGUGAAGGAACUAGGCAAAAUGGUGCCGUAACUUCGGGAGAAGGCACGCUGACACGUAGGUGAAGUGAUUUACUCAUGGAGCUGAAGUCAGUCGAAGAUACCAGCUGGCUGCAACUGUUUAUUAAAAACACAGCACUGUGCAAACACGAAAGUGGACGUAUACGGUGUGACGCCUGCCCGGUGCCGGAAGGUUAAUUGAUGGGGUCAGCGCAAGCGAAGCUCCUGAUCGAAGCCCCGGUAAACGGCGGCCGUAACUAUAACGGUCCUAAGGUAGCGAAAUUCCUUGUCGGGUAAGUUCCGACCUGCACGAAUGGCGUAAUGAUGGCCAGGCUGUCUCCACCCGAGACUCAGUGAAAUUGAACUCGCUGUGAAGAUGCAGUGUACCCGCGGCAAGACGGAAAGACCCCGUGAACCUUUACUAUAGCUUGACACUGAACAUUGAGCCUUGAUGUGUAGGAUAGGUGGGAGGCUUUGAAGUGUGGACGCCAGUCUGCAUGGAGCCGGCCUUGAAAUACCACCCUUUAAUGUUUGAUGUUCUAACGUGGACCCGUGAUCCGGGUUGCGGACAGUGUCUGGUGGGUAGUUUGACUGGGGCGGUCUCCUCCUAAAGAGUAACGGAGGAGCACGAAGGUUGGCUAAUCCUGGUCGGACAUCAGGAGGUUAGUGCAAUGGCAUAAGCCAGCUUGACUGCGAGCGUGACGGCGCGAGCAGGUGCGAAAGCAGGUCAUAGUGAUCCGGUGGUUCUGAAUGGAAGGGCCAUCGCUCAACGGAUAAAAGGUACUCCGGGGAUAACAGGCUGAUACCGCCCAAGAGUUCAUAUCGACGGCGGUGUUUGGCACCUCGAUGUCGGCUCAUCACAUCCUGGGGCUGAAGUAGGUCCCAAGGGUAUGGCUGUUCGCCAUUUAAAGUGGUACGCGAGCUGGGUUUAGAACGUCGUGAGACAGUUCGGUCCCUAUCUGCCGUGGGCGCUGGAGAACUGAGGGGGGCUGCUCCUAGUACGAGAGGACCGGAGUGGACGCAUCACUGGUGUUCGGGUUGUCAUGCCAAUGGCACUGCCCGGUAGCUAAAUGCGGAAGAGAUAAGUGCUGAAAGCAUCUAAGCACGAAACUUGCCCCGAGAUGAGUUCUCCCUGAGACUUAGAGUCUCCUGAAGGAACGUUGAAGACGACGACGUUGAUAGGCCGGGUGUGUAAGCGCAGCGAUGCGUUGAGCUAACCGGUACUAAUGAACCGUGAGGCUUAACCUUACAACGCCGAAG
This 3028-nucleotide ribosomal RNA is filed under the name Salmonella enterica subsp. enterica serovar Schwarzengrund. RNAcentral's name for it is "23S ribosomal RNA". It matches the Rfam family "Bacterial large subunit ribosomal RNA". The record is from RNAcentral. Lineage: Bacteria; Pseudomonadati; Pseudomonadota; Gammaproteobacteria; Enterobacterales; Enterobacteriaceae.